GGCGUCCGAGUUGUAAUUUGUAGAGGAUGCUAUUGGGUUGCCACCGGUCUAAGUUCCUUGGAACAGGACGUCACAGAGGGUGAGAAUCCCGUAUGUGACCGGCCAGGCGCCUUCUGUAUAGCUCCUUCGACGAGUCGGGUUGUUUGGGAAUGCAGCCCUAAAUGGGAGGUAAAUUUCUUCUAAAGCUAAAUACCGGCCAGAGACCGAUAGCGCACAAGUAGAGUGAUCGAAAGAUGAAAAGCACUUUGGAAAGAGAGUUAAAAAGCACGUGAAAUUGUUGAAAGGGAAGCGCUUGCAAUCAGUCUCGACGGCGGCUGUUCGGCCUCUCUUCUGAGUGGUUUAUUCAGUCGCCGCCGGGCCAGCAUCAGUUUUGGCGGUCGGAUAAAGGCGCAGGGAAUGUAGCUCCCCCGGGAGUGUUAUAGCCCCGCGUGCAAUACGGCCCGCCGGGACUGAGGUCCGCGCUUCGGCUAGGAUGCUGGCGAAAUGGUUGUAAGCGGCCCGUCUUGAAACACGGACCAAGGAGUCUAACAUCUACGCGAGUGUUUGGGUGUCAAACCCGUGCGCGCAAUGAAAGUGAACGGAGGUGGGAACCGCAAGGUGCACCAUCGACCGAUCCUGAUGUCUUCGGAUGGAUUUGAGUAAGAGCGUAGCUGUUGGGACCCGAAAGAUGGUGAACUAUGCCUGAAUAGGGUGAAGCCAGAGGAAACUCUGGUGGAGGCUCGCAGCGGUUCUGACG
RNAcentral lists this ribosomal RNA (736 nucleotides) under Elsinoe phaseoli. RNAcentral describes it as "eukaryotic LSU rRNA". It matches the Rfam family "Eukaryotic large subunit ribosomal RNA", at positions 133 to 891 of the family's 3401-position model. The record is from RNAcentral. Lineage: Eukaryota; Fungi; Ascomycota; Dothideomycetes; Myriangiales; Elsinoaceae.